AGAGUUUGAUCCUGGCUCAGGAUGAACGCUAGCUACAGGCUUAACACAUGCAAGUCGAGGGGCAGCAUGGUCGUUGCUUGCAAUGACCGAUGGCGACCGGCGCACGGGUGAGUAACGCGUAUCCAACCUUCCCCCUACCCGGGUAUAGCCCGCCGAAAGGCGGAUUAAUCCCCGAUACGUCCCCUGACGGCAUCAGGCGGGGACGAAAGGUAUUCCGGUAAGGGAUGGGGAUGCGUCCGAUUAGCUUGUUGGCGGGGUAACGGCCCACCAAGGCAACGAUCGGUAGGGGUUCUGAGAGGAAGGUCCCCCACAUUGGAACUGAGACACGGUCCAAACUCCUACGGGAGGCAGCAGUGAGGAAUAUUGGUCAAUGGGCGGAAGCCUGAACCAGCCAAGUAGCGUGCAGGAUGACGGCCCUACGGGUUGUAAACUGCUUUUUUGCGGGAAUAAAGCGGCUCACGCGUGAGCCUUUGCAUGUACCGCACGAAUAAGGACCGGCUAAUUCCGUGCCAGCAGCCGCGGUAAUACGGAAGGUCCGGGCGUUAUCCGGAUUUAUUGGGUUUAAAGGGAGCGUAGGCCGCCUUUUAAGCGUGCUGUGAAAUACCGUUGCCCAACAACGGGGCUGCAGCGCGAACUGGAGGGCUUGAGUUCACGGGAAGCCGGCGGAAUUCGUCGUGUAGCGGUGAAAUGCUUAGAUAUGACGAAGAACUCCGAUUGCGAAGGCAGCCGGCUGUAGUGUUACUGACGCUGAAGCUCGAAAGUGCGGGUAUCGAACAGGAUUAGAUACCCUGGUAGUCCGCACGGUA
This 806-nucleotide ribosomal RNA is filed under the name uncultured bacterium. RNAcentral describes it as "bacterial SSU rRNA". It matches the Rfam family "Bacterial small subunit ribosomal RNA", at positions 8 to 804 of the family's 1533-position model. The record is from RNAcentral.